AUGUAUGUUCGAAAGAGGUUUGAUGCUGGUCUCUCUCCCGAGGCAUGUGCGCACCUCUCGACUUCUAUCCACACACCUGUGCACCUGUCGUGAAUGUCUCCCAUUCGGAGCCGUCCUGUACAAAAACAGGACUGGGACAUUCCGUCUCUUUAUCCCACAAACACCUGUCCAUAUCGCAUGUCCAAGUGGCUCCAAGGAGCUAUAAACGAAAUA
This 213-nucleotide unclassified non-coding RNA is filed under the name uncultured Ramaria. RNAcentral's name for it is "sequence contains ITS1". The record is from RNAcentral. Lineage: Eukaryota; Fungi; Basidiomycota; Agaricomycetes; Gomphales; Gomphaceae.